This is a long non-coding RNA of Hyaena hyaena (striped hyena), 186 nucleotides long. RefSeq lists it as uncharacterized. The record is from RefSeq and is a predicted model, not a curated record. NCBI's taxonomy places the organism in Eukaryota, Metazoa, Chordata, Mammalia, Carnivora, Hyaenidae. The transcript is spliced from 2 exons.
GACUCAGACUUCAGUCCAAAGACCAAUCCUGGGCUGUGGGACUUUUAGUGCUGAGAAAGUUCCAGGCAGACCAAAUGAGUCCGUCAUCCUACCUGGGCUAAAGUAAAAUACUGCCUGCUGAGAUUGUAAAGUUGAAGAAGCAUGAGCUACAGAAUAAAAAACCUGAUUGAAAUUCCAGCUGAACCA